RNAcentral lists this transfer RNA (85 nucleotides) under Felis catus (domestic cat). It matches the Rfam family "tRNA". Rfam says of the family: Transfer RNA (tRNA) molecules are approximately 80 nucleotides in length. The record is from Rfam by way of RNAcentral. Lineage: Eukaryota; Metazoa; Chordata; Mammalia; Carnivora; Felidae. RNAcentral also lists the same sequence under 1 other name.
GCCUGGGUGGCUCAGUCAGUUGAGCACCUGACUUUGGCUCAGGUCAUGAUCUCACCGCUCAUGAGUUCGAGCCCCGUGUCAGGCU